AGCAGGACGACCCCCAGUGGAUGGGCGCCGAGGGGUGUGGUGUUCCUCCAGCAGCUCUCUCAUGAGGUUCUCUCUGUAUUUUUGGUGGUCCACCUUCCCUGUGGCCGACAUGGUUGCUGUAUGGACAGUGGAGAGGACAUGGACGUCUCGCUUGUCAUGCCACUUUACUGCCAGCUGUUGACCGUUCUCUUGGAACUCCACCUCCCCUCUCUGCAUCUUCCUGCAUCCGAAUGCCGGCAUCCCCUUCCUGUUCGACCUGACUGUGCCACAUGCCCCUGUGCUGUUGGAGAGCAGAUGCUGGAAGAGUGUGGGACUGCUGUACCAAUUGUCCACGUACAAAGUGUGUCCCUUGCCGAGAUGAGGAGCCAGCAUGGUCAUCACCACGGACCCUGACACCCCAAGCCCAUCAUAAUGUUUGAUGUCAGUGGUGGACCCUGUGUAAACUAUAAUAUCCUGGACAAAUCCUGUCUUCACGUCGCACAUGACAAAGAACUUGACUCCAAACCUGUGCCUUUUGGAGGGAAUAUAUUGACGGAACGCCAGCCUACCUUUCCAUAACAUCAGGGACUCAUCAAUGCAUAGGUCCUUGUAUGGCACAAAGACCCGACCAAAUGCUGAUGUCAGGCUGAUAAGAACAUUUCUUAUUUUGUAUAACGGGUCACUUAGGAUGGCAGUAGCAUUGUUGACAAAAUGCAGGCAUCGCAGAAGAACUAGGAAGCGAUCUUGGGAAAAGAGGGAGGCAAAGAAGGGAGUUGCAAACAUAGGAUCUGUGCUCCAGUAUUCUCUUAGGGAGUUCUUCUUUACUAUUCCCAUGAGAAGGACUGUCACCAGGAAGGUAUACAUUUCACUAAUUGUGGUUGUCACCCAUUUAGCGAGUUUCCCCUCACUCCUGGCUCUCUCUUCUCCUGUAGCUCUAAGGCAUAGCGAUUGGUCUCCUCAACUAUCUCUCCCACCAGCUCCUCUGUGAGAAACAACUUGAAGCACUCUGCCUCAGUUGGAAAUGGCAAGGGCGUUGCACUCCAGACUGGGACUCGUCAAAGCAGACAGCAGGGCCAGGUGGGGUGAAAUGACUGGUGGCCUUCCAGCUACCACAGAACUCCUGUACUUCAUCCACUGUCGGCCUGCCUCCAUCACCACCAGCAUCUUCAAAGGGACCUGGUACUUCCUCAGUUGACAAGGGAAAUUUAGAUUCAGGGUUCUCAAUGGCUACAAGGUUGAGGGGCAGCUCCUCACUGUCACUGUCAGAAUCUGAUUCCUGACUUUCAUACUCAGACUCAUGGUCAGAAUUUAAAAAAAUCUCCAGAAUUUCCACAUUUGUGAGUUGUCUCCUUUUGAAAGACAUUGUUAAAUGCUACAGUUUAGCUCACUAGCUACAUACAUAAACAACAACACUGAAUGGCGCAGAGUGGGAGGUUACGUGGUUGACUGCCGGCACGCGCCACUUGUAUCAAUAAAUCACUAUCAGAAAAUG
Oncorhynchus nerka (sockeye salmon) is the source of this 1471-nucleotide long non-coding RNA. RefSeq lists it as uncharacterized. The transcript has 2 exons. Lineage: Eukaryota; Metazoa; Chordata; Actinopteri; Salmoniformes; Salmonidae. The record is from RefSeq and is a predicted model, not a curated record.